This 491-nucleotide ribosomal RNA is filed under the name uncultured bacterium. RNAcentral describes it as "bacterial SSU rRNA". It matches the Rfam family "Bacterial small subunit ribosomal RNA", at positions 28 to 507 of the family's 1533-position model. The record is from RNAcentral.
GAUGAACGCUAGCUACAGGCUUAACACAUGCAAGUCGAGGGGCAGCAUGAACUUAGCUUGCUAAGUUUGAUGGCGACCGGCGCACGGGUGAGUAACACGUAUCCAACCUGCCGAUGACUCGGGGAUAGCCUUUCGAAAGAAAGAUUAAUACCCGAUGGCAUAGUUCUUCCGCAUGGUAGAACUAUUAAAGGAUUUCGGUCAUCGAUGGGGAUGCGUUCCAUUAGGUUGUUGGCGGGGUAACGGCCCACCAAGCCUUCGAUGGAUAGGGGUUCUGAGAGGAAGGUCCCCCCACAUUGGAACUGAGACACGGUCCAAAACUCCUACGGGAGGCAGCAGUGAGGAAUAUUGGUCAAUGGACGAGAGUCUGAACCAGCCAAGUAGCGUGAAGGAUGACUGCCCUAUGGGUUGUAAACUUCUUUUAUACGGGAAUAAAGUGAGGCACGCGUGCCUUUUUGUAUGUACCGUAUGAAUAAGGAUCGGCUAACUCCGUG